AUUGAACGCUGGCGGCAUGCCUUACACAUGCAAGUCGAACGGUAACGGGCCUUCGGGUGCCGACGAGUGGCGAACGGGUGAGUAAUACAUCGGAACGUGCCCGAUCGUGGGGUAUAAUGAGGCGAAAGCUUUGCUAAUACCGCAUACGAUCUCCGGCUGAAAGCAGGGGACAGCAAGGGCUUUCGCGGCCGGGGCGGCCGAUGGCAGAUUAGGUCGUUGGUGGGAUAAAAGCUUACCAAGCCGACGAUCUGUAGCUGGUCUGAGAGGAUGAUCAGCCACACUGGGACUGAGACACGGCCCAGACUCCUACGGGAGGCAGCAGUGGGGAAUAUUGGACAAUGGGCGCAAGCCUGAUCCAGCCAUGCCGCGUGCAGGAUGAAGGCCUUCGGGUUGUAAACUGCUUUUGUACGGAACGAAAAGCCUUCUUUUAAUACAGGAGGGUCAUGACGGUACCGUAAGAAUAAGCACCGGCUAACUACGUG
Molecule: ribosomal RNA, 482 nt
Filed under: uncultured bacterium
Lineage: Bacteria
Description: partial 16S ribosomal RNA
Rfam family: Bacterial small subunit ribosomal RNA
Source: RNAcentral